Molecule: ribosomal RNA, 497 nt
Filed under: uncultured bacterium
Lineage: Bacteria
Description: partial 16S ribosomal RNA
Rfam family: Bacterial small subunit ribosomal RNA
Source: RNAcentral
GAUGAACGCUGGCGGCGUGCCUAAUACAUGCAAGUCGAGCGAACAGACGAGGAGCUUGCUCCUCUGACGUUAGCGGCGGACGGGUGAGUAACACGUGGAUAACCUACCUAUAAGACUGGGAUAACUUCGGUAAACCGGAUCUAAUACCGGAUAAUAUAUUGAACCGCAUGGUUCAAUAGUUCACGACGGUUUUGCUGUCACUUAUAGAUGGAUCCGCGCCGCAUUAGCUAGUUGGUAAGGUAACGGCUUACCAAGGCGACGAUGCGUAGCCGACCUGAGAGGGUGAUCGGCCACACUGGAACUGAGACACGGUCCAGACUCCUACGGGAGGCAGCAGUAGGGAAUCUUCCGCAAUGGGCGAAAGCCUGACGGAGCAACGCCGCGUGAGUGAUGAAGGUCUUCGGAUCGUAAAACUCUGUUAUUAGGGAAGAACAAAUGUGUAAGUAACUAUGCACGUCUUGACGGUACCUAAUCAGAAAGCCACGGCUAACUACGUG